AAGCCCACGAAGCCCAUCUCUAAAAUCUAUAAAUAGAGGUGUUGGGGUGCUCAUUAUAACGAACUCGAAGGAGCGGAAGAUCGAAGAGCAUAAAGAAUUCUCUCUAGUAUCACAAGUUGAAGUGGAAGAUUGAGGAGUUCAAAGAAUUCUAUCAAGUAUCAAGUAUUCAUCAAGUAUCCUUCAAAUCUUCAAGAUCUUCAAGGCAACAUUCAAGUAUCCUUCGAACAUUCAAGUAUUUGAGCAUUCAAAUCUUCAAGUAUCCUUCGAAUCUUCAAGUAUUUGAGCGUUUAAAUCUUCAAGUGUCUUCAAGAAUUCUAUCAAGUCUUCAAGUAUUCUUCAAGUAUCUUCAAGUGAUCAAACCUUCAAAUCUUCAAGUGAUCAAGGCGUUCUUACAAAUUCCAAGAACGAUCUUCUUCAAAUCAAAUCAACCAAGUCCCAAAGCUUCAAGGCGUUCUUACAAAAUUCUAAGGACGUUCUUCUCAAAUCAAAUCAAGUUCAACGUUCAAUCCAAAAUCAUGACUUAAGUCCUUUGGAUUGGCGUCAUCAAAACAAGUAUUUCAAGAACCUUCGAGUUUGUUCAAGAAUCAAAUGGAAGAGAAGAAUCAGAGGAUUAACUAGAGAUUGCAACCCGCAUAAAUCUAUCUAUCAAAUUCUAUCAAAUUAUCUUUGUGACGCGUUUUGUAUUUUAUCAAAUUGAAAUACAAAAAUUUGUGUUUACAAAUUUUGGCA
Molecule: long non-coding RNA, 729 nt
Filed under: Salvia miltiorrhiza (redroot sage)
Lineage: Eukaryota; Viridiplantae; Streptophyta; Magnoliopsida; Lamiales; Lamiaceae
Description: long non-coding RNA (SMIL_LNC012594)
Source: RNAcentral